GACGAACGUUGGCGGCGUGCUUAAUACAUGCAAGUCAAUUGAAGCACCGGUAGUAAUACUGGUGUGGAGGUGGCGCACGGGUGAGUAACACGUAGGUAAUCUGCCUUCAGGUCUGACAUAACCCCGAGAAAUCGGGCUAAUAGCAGAUGAUGCAGCGGCUUGACAUCAAAGACAGUUGUUAAAGCUUCGGCGCCUGAAGAUGAGCCUGCGUCUGAUUAGCUAGUUGGCGGAGUAAUGGCCCACCAAGGCUACGAUCAGUAACUGGUCUGAGAGGAUGAUCAGUCACACUGGAACUGAGACACGGUCCAGACUCCUACGGGAGCAGCAGUAAGGAAUAUUGCUCAAUGGGAGAAAUCCUGAAGCAGCAACACCGCGUGAGGGAUGAA
This 386-nucleotide ribosomal RNA is filed under the name uncultured bacterium. RNAcentral describes it as "bacterial SSU rRNA". It matches the Rfam family "Bacterial small subunit ribosomal RNA", at positions 28 to 412 of the family's 1533-position model. The record is from RNAcentral.